UCCGGGUGGACAGGGAGACAGGUGGUGCGAUGGUUGUCGUCAGCUCGUGUCGUGAGAUGUUGGGUUAAGUCCCGCAACGAGCGCAACCCCUACGUUUAGUUGCUAACGCGUGAAGGCGAGCACUCUAGACGAACUGCCGUUGACAAAACGGAGGAAGGUGGGGAUGACGUCAAAUCAUCAUGCCCCUUAUGUUCUGGGCUACACACGUGCUACAAUGGCCGGUACAGACGGACGCAAAGCCGCGAGGCGGAGCAAAUCCGAAAAAGCCGGUCUCAGUUCGGAUUGCAGGCUGCAAUUCGCCUGCAUGAAGUCGGAAUCGCUAGUAAUCGCAGGUCAGCAUACUGCGGUCGAAUACGUUCCCGGGCCUU
Molecule: ribosomal RNA, 368 nt
Filed under: uncultured Pelotomaculum sp.
Lineage: Bacteria; Bacillati; Bacillota; Clostridia; Eubacteriales; Desulfotomaculaceae
Description: bacterial SSU rRNA
Rfam family: Bacterial small subunit ribosomal RNA
Source: RNAcentral